UAGGGAAUCUUCCACAAUGGACGCAAGUCUGAUGGAGCAACGCCGCGUGAGUGAAGAAGGUUUUCGGACCGUAAAGCUCUGUUGUUGGUGAAGAAGGAUAGAGGUAGUAACUGGCCUUUAUUUGACGGUAAUCAACCAGAAAGUCACGGCUAACUACGUGCCAGCAGCCGCGGUAAAUACGUAGGUGGCAAGCGUUGUCCGGAUUUAUUGGGCGUAAAGCGAGCGCAGGCGGAAGAAUAAGUCUGAUGUGAAAGCCCUCGGCUUAACCGAGGAAUUGCAUCGGAAACUGUUUUCUUGAGUGCAGAAAGAGGAGAGUAGAACUCCAUGUGUAGCGGUGGAAUGCGUAGAUAUAUGGAAGAAUACCAGUGGCGAAGGCGGCUCUCUGGUCUGCAACUGACGCUGAGGCUCGAAAAGCAUGGGUAGCGAACAGGAUUAGAUACCCUGGUAGUCCAUGCCGUAAAACGAUGAGUGCUAAGUGUUGGGAGGCUUCCGCCUCUCAGUGCUGCAGCUAACGCAUUAAGCACUCCGCCUGGGGAGUACGACCGCAAGGUUGAAAC
RNAcentral lists this ribosomal RNA (557 nucleotides) under uncultured bacterium. RNAcentral describes it as "partial 16S ribosomal RNA". It matches the Rfam family "Bacterial small subunit ribosomal RNA", at positions 355 to 900 of the family's 1533-position model. The record is from RNAcentral.